GCUCAUAGCGUAUAUUAAGUUGUUGCAGUUAAAAAGCUCGUAGUUGAAUUUCGGGGUUAGUAGGUUGGUCAUGCCUCUGGUAUGUACUGGUCUCACUGAUUCCUCCUUCCUGAUGAACCGUAAUGCCAUUAAUUUGGUGUUGCGGGGAAUUUGGACUGUUACUUUGAAAAAAUUAGAGUGUUUAAAGCAGGCA
RNAcentral lists this ribosomal RNA (193 nucleotides) under uncultured Glomus. RNAcentral's name for it is "partial small subunit ribosomal RNA". It matches the Rfam family "Eukaryotic small subunit ribosomal RNA", at positions 590 to 786 of the family's 1831-position model. The record is from RNAcentral. Lineage: Eukaryota; Fungi; Glomeromycota; Glomeromycetes; Glomerales; Glomeraceae.